AAGUUACAAGCCUCCAGGCAGCAGGCAUCGGGUGUCGGGCUCUCACUGGACACAUGCAGAUGCAGACGCAUACACCAGGGACCGCCCCUUCCUGCCUGAGCCUCUGUGACUCCCGAGGGUAGUCGUCUCAGCCAAGUGCUAGGCACGGGAAGGUUGGUGAUGACUGGAGGGCCACCUGAGCCACACUCAGGGUUGAGGCCAAGGUGCCGGUGGGGCCCUCUCUGCCCUCCGGUCCUUCCGAGAGACUCACCACUUCAAGCAAUGCUCAGAUACCCAGGGGCCAGCCUUCCCGUCAGCUUCCUGAGGAGGUGGCCCAGCUUGGCCUCAGACGACCUCCAUCCUGGAGAGACU
Camelus dromedarius (Arabian camel) is the source of this 351-nucleotide long non-coding RNA. RefSeq lists it as uncharacterized. The transcript is spliced from 3 exons. The record is from RefSeq and is a predicted model, not a curated record. NCBI's taxonomy places the organism in Eukaryota, Metazoa, Chordata, Mammalia, Artiodactyla, Camelidae.